RNAcentral lists this long non-coding RNA (1246 nucleotides) under Homo sapiens (human). RNAcentral's name for it is "non-protein coding lnc-GAS2-1:4". The record is from RNAcentral. Lineage: Eukaryota; Metazoa; Chordata; Mammalia; Primates; Hominidae.
GAAGAUCCGGCGCAGCUAAAGUCAGUGGAAGGUAGAAAGACGCCACAGCCGCCUUUCGACAACUUUUUGUUACAAAAGUGGAGAUCUACACGGAGGCGACGGCCUAGGUCGCUCUGACAGGACCCAACGACCCUCCUGACGCGUCCACCCGUCCUCGCUAGCAGGGUCCCCCAGCGGGCUCUCGACCUGCGCCACCAGAGUUCCACUCUUUUUGUCGACAAUAAUAUGGCGCCCAAACACGUGGGGCCUCAGAGAAGACUCUGGAUCCGGAAGGAGUAUCCCAAAACCAGAGCUAAGGUACCAGCUGGAGCCCACUGAAGCCUCACCGAGUUUGGGCUUCUCCUCCUGUGGAACUGGAAACCAAAAUCAUGGUAUUUUGAAAACCAGAGGUAUGAAUCUCCCUCGUUUGGCAUCCCACUGGGCCUGGACCUGUUUCACUGCUAAUGUUCUGCUGCCAAAACUAUACAAGCUGCCUGGACUAUUGCAGAAGAGAGACAGAGUCUUGCUCUGUUGCCCAGAAUGGAAUGCAGUAGCACAAUCCUAACUAAUCGUAACCUUGAACUCCUGGGUUCAAGCGAUCCUCCUGCCUCAGCCUCCUCAGUAUAGGACUACAGGCGUGCCCAGUUCAAAGUACCAACCUGGAGAAAAUGCCCUGGAUUUGGAAGCAAAGUAUUGAAUGUUGGAAGUCUGAAUAAAGGAAUCAUACACUGUAUGUGCACCUGAAUGUACUUUACAAGCAUCAGUAGAACACUUCUGAUUGAAGCUUGGUCUUAUGAAGAUAAAAAUUUUAUGUGGACCACAGAUUCUCUAAAAAUCAAUGCUUCCUGUCCUCAAACAUCGGACUCCAAAUUCUUCAGCUUUGGGACGGACUGGCUUCCUUGCUCCUCAGCUUGCAGACAGCCGACUGUGGGACCUUGUGAUCAUAAUACCACAGUCUGGAGGCUAUGAAGUCCAUGAUUAAGAAGCCAGCACGUUUGCUUUCUGGUUCCAAGAUGGCAUACCUUUUUGCUGCUUCCUCCAGAGAGGAGGAACACUGUGUUCUCACAUAGUAGAAGAUGGAAGGAGCAGAUGCAGAUGAGCAUGGCAAUGUGAGAAUAUGUCAGAGGCCCCAGGAUGAAAUGAGCUCAAGUCCCUGAAAUCCCUGUUAGAAGAGUCUUUCCACUGGUUGGGAAUGCUAAUUGUAUUUUGACAACUCAAUGUUUCAGCAACUCAAAAUGUUACAGCUUCUGCAUUGGAAUAAAAAAAG